Molecule: ribosomal RNA, 96 nt
Filed under: Termitomyces sp.
Lineage: Eukaryota; Fungi; Basidiomycota; Agaricomycetes; Agaricales; Lyophyllaceae
Description: partial 28S ribosomal RNA
Source: RNAcentral
UUGACCUCRAAUCAGGUAGGACUACCCGCUGAACUUAAGCAUAUCAAUAAGCGGAGGAAAAGAAACUAACAAGGAUUCCCCUAGUAACUGCGAGUG